GAUGAACGCUAGCUACAGGCUUAACACAUGCAAGUCGAGGGGAAACGACAUUGGAAGCUUGCUUCCUUUGGGCGUCGACCGGCGCACGGGUGAGUAACGCGUAUCCAACCUUCCCGCAAGUAAGGGAUAACCCGUAGAAAUGCGGCCUAAUACCUUAUGUUUUCCUUAGAGGGCAUCUGAUGAGGAACAAAGAUCCGUCGCUUGCGGAUGGGGAUGCGUCUGAUUAGUUAGUCGGCGGGGUAACGGCCCACCGAGACGACGAUCAGUAGGGGUUCUGAGAGGAAAGUCCCCCACAUUGGAACUGAGACACGGUCCAAACUCCUACGGGAGGCAGCAGUGAGGAAUAUUGGUCAAUGGGCGGAAGCCUGAACCAGCCAAGUAGCGUGCAGGACGACGGCCCUAUGGGUUGUAAACUGCUUUUAGGCGGGGGUAAAGGAGCGGACGCGUUCCGCUUUUGCAAGUACCGCCAGAAAAAGGACCGGCUAAUUCCGUG
RNAcentral lists this ribosomal RNA (493 nucleotides) under uncultured bacterium. RNAcentral's name for it is "bacterial SSU rRNA". It matches the Rfam family "Bacterial small subunit ribosomal RNA", at positions 28 to 507 of the family's 1533-position model. The record is from RNAcentral.